GACAGAGGUGGCAAGCGUUGUUCGGAAUUACUGGGCGUAAAGGGCGCGUAGGCGGCCUUCUAAGUCGAACGUGAAAUCCCCGGGCUCAACCCGGGAACUGCGUCCGAUACUGGGAGGCUUGAAUCCGGGAGAGGGAUGUGGAAUUCCAGGUGUAGCGGUGAAAUGCGUAGAUAUCUGGAGGAACACCGGUGGCGAAGGCGGCAUCCUGGACCGGUAUUGACGCUGAGGCGCGAAAGCCAGGGGAGCAAACGGG
RNAcentral lists this ribosomal RNA (253 nucleotides) under uncultured bacterium. Its description in RNAcentral is "partial 16S ribosomal RNA". It matches the Rfam family "Bacterial small subunit ribosomal RNA", at positions 524 to 776 of the family's 1533-position model. The record is from RNAcentral.